This is a non-coding RNA of Pelobates cultripes (western spadefoot toad), 643 nucleotides long. NCBI's taxonomy places the organism in Eukaryota, Metazoa, Chordata, Amphibia, Anura, Pelobatidae. The record is from the annotation of a GenBank genome assembly.
CCAGAAUUGUGACAGUUUCCCUUUAAUACAUGGCUUUAUGCGUUAUUACAUGCCAAUCCAUAUCAUUGUACGUGGCGCUAACUUAAUAAUUAGCCAGCAAGUUCCAGUUCGGUGGAAGCUAGUCCUGCUAACGUUAGUCCUUUGUAUGGAUAUAGCACACUAUCCGUAGUCUGCCCUUUAUAUAGAGAGCUCUAUAAUACUAUACACAUUCUAAGCACAGACAGAUUGUCAAGGUCUCUCCGCCCUCUGUGUUUGAUAGUAAUUCAAUGAUGGCAGCCUCGCGAUUGGCCCAUUUCCAGCUGUGAUACCAUAUUUGGACAGAAUUCUUUUGUCGAUGUCUUUCAGCCUUGGCCUGGUCUCAGUUAUGUGUGUGUAUAUAUAAAUAGUAUUAGUUUAUGCAUUCUUGUGAUUUGCUGUGCAAAAAUCAAUAUAUCCCAAUUUCUCUGGGUCAGAUAUUUAGUGCUAUCAGAGAGCUGGCACCCUUGUUACCCUUCAGAAGUAAGGAAUGUACGUGGAAUGCCGCUGUUAGAAUGUUUCCAUUUUCUGAGUCCAAAUAAUAGAAUCCUGUGUUUUAAUGCAGCUCGGCGUGACCAGACACAGAUAAAUACACUAUAACUGUGACCAUGUCGUUCUCAAUGUUUCA